GACGAACGCUGGCGGCGUGCUUAACGCAUGCAAGUCGUACGGUAAGGCCCUUUCGGGGGUACACGAGUGGCGAACGGGUGAGUAACACGUGAGUAACCUGCCCACAACUUUGGGAUAACGCUAGGAAACUGGUGCUAAUACUGGAUAUGUGCUCCUGCUGCAUGGUGGGGGUUGGAAAGCUCCGGCGGUUGUGGAUGGACUCGCGGCCUAUCAGCUUGUUGGUGGGGUAGUGGCCUACCAAGGCGGCGACGGGUAGCCGGCCUGAGAGGGUGACCGGCCACAUUGGGACUGAGAUACGGCCCAGACUCCUACGGGAGGCAGCAGUGGGGAAUAUUGCACAAUGGGCGCAAGCCUGAUGCAGCAACGCCGCGGGCGGGAUGACGGCCUUCGGGUUGUAAACCGCUUUCAGCAGGGACGAAGCUUUUUGUGACGGUACCUGCAGAAGAAGCACCGGCUAACUACGUG
This 465-nucleotide ribosomal RNA is filed under the name uncultured bacterium. RNAcentral describes it as "partial 16S ribosomal RNA". It matches the Rfam family "Bacterial small subunit ribosomal RNA", at positions 28 to 507 of the family's 1533-position model. The record is from RNAcentral.